Molecule: ribosomal RNA, 425 nt
Filed under: uncultured bacterium
Lineage: Bacteria
Description: partial 16S ribosomal RNA
Rfam family: Bacterial small subunit ribosomal RNA
Source: RNAcentral
GUGGGGAAUAUUGGACAAUGGGCGCAAGCCUGAUCCAGCCAUGCCGCGUGAGUGAUGAAGGCCCUAGGGUUGUAAAGCUCUUUCACCGGAGAAGAUAAUGACGGUAUCCGGAGAAGAAGCCCCGGCUAACUUCGUGCCAGCAGCCGCGGUAAUACGAAGGGGGCUAGCGUUGUUCGGAAUUACUGGGCGUAAAGCGCACGUAGGCGGACAUUUAAGUCAGGGGUGAAAUCCCGGAGCUCAACUCCGGAACUGCCUUUGAUACUGGGUGUCUGGAGUAUGGAAGAGGUGAGUGGAAUUCCGAGUGUAGAGGUGAAAUUCGUAGAUAUUCGGAGGAACACCAGUGGCGAAGGCGGCUCACUGGCCCGUUACUGACGCUGAGGCGCGAAAGCGUGGGGAGCAAACAGGAUUAGAAACCCUGGUAGUCC